CCAGACUCCUACGGGAGGCAGCAGUGAGGAAUAUUGGUCAAUGGGAGAGAUCCUGAACCAGCCAAGCCGCGUGAGGGAAGACGGCCCUAUGGGUUGUAAACCUCUUUUGUCGGAGAACAAAACCCGGGACGAGUCCCGGACUGCGUGUAUCCGAAGAAAAAGCAUCGGCUAACUCCGUGCCAGCAGCCGCGGUAAUACGUAGGGAGCAAGCGUUAUCCGGAUUUAUUGGGUGUAAAGGGUGCGUAGACGGGAAAACAAGUUAGUUGUGAAAUCCCUCGGCUUAACUGAGGAACUGCAACUAAAACUAUUUUUCUUGAGUGUUGGAGAGGAAAGUGGAAUUCCUAGUGUAGCGGUGAAAUGCGUAGAUAUUAGGAGGAACACCAGUGGCGAAGGCGACUUUCUGGACAAUAACUGACGUUGAGGCACGAAAGUGUGGGGAGCAAACAGGAUUAGAUACCCCAGUAA
Molecule: ribosomal RNA, 465 nt
Filed under: uncultured bacterium
Lineage: Bacteria
Description: bacterial SSU rRNA
Rfam family: Bacterial small subunit ribosomal RNA
Source: RNAcentral